UAGCCGUAAACGAUACUCGCUAGGUGUCGGCCACGGUGCGACCGUUGUCGGUGCCGUAGGGAAGCCGUGAAGCGAGCCACCUGGGAAGUACGGCCGCAAGGCUGAAACUUAAAGGAAUUGGCGGGGGAGCACAACAACGGGUGGAGCCUGCGGUUUAAUUGGAUUCAACGCCGGAAAUCUUACCGGGACCGACAGCAACAUGAAGGCCAAGCUGAAGACUUUGCCGGAUUAGCUGAGAGGAGGUGCAUGGCGUAGUCGUGU
Molecule: ribosomal RNA, 261 nt
Filed under: uncultured archaeon
Lineage: Archaea
Description: partial 16S ribosomal RNA
Rfam family: Archaeal small subunit ribosomal RNA
Source: RNAcentral